This 742-nucleotide unclassified non-coding RNA is filed under the name Arabidopsis thaliana (thale cress). RNAcentral's name for it is "3' external transcribed spacer". The record is from RNAcentral. Lineage: Eukaryota; Viridiplantae; Streptophyta; Magnoliopsida; Brassicales; Brassicaceae.
CCCUCCCCUAAAUCACUCCAAAAAAAACAAUCCCCAAUUCUACACAAGUGUUUCUACACUAACAAAGCAACAGCUCCUUAACGAAUUCCCAACUUUACACGAGCUCGUCUCUCGAGGUUAAAUGUUAUUACUUGGUAAGAUUCCGGACCUCGCCAAGUGUUUUGAAAACCCGCAACGCUCGCAAAGGUGCAUAGUGAGAAUAAUAAGUGAAGAGACAGACUUGUCCAAAACGCCCACCACGAAGGUGCAUAGUGAGAAGAGUAAGUCAAGAGAUAGACUUGUCCAAAAAGAAACGGAAGAGAAAGCUUGGGGAGACGCUCACGAAGGUGCAUAGUGAGAAGAGUAAGUCAAGAGAUAGACUUGUUCAAAAAGAAACAGAAGAGAAUGCUUGGGGUUACACUCACGAAGGUGCAUAGUGAGAAGAGUAAGUCAAGAGAUAGACUUGUUCAAAAAGAAACAGAAGAGAAUGCUUGGGGUUACACUCACGAAGGUGCAUAGUGAGAAGAGUAAGUCAAGAGACAGACUUGUUCAAAAAGAAACAAAAGAGAAUGCUUGGGGAGAUAGAAGUGUGAGAUAGUUCUCAAGCUAAGAAAGUUGUAAAAGCUAAGAACUAGCAAGUAAUCGUCCAGGAUUCCUCCACCAGGACUUGAAAUCGUCGAGGGAAAAAAAUCGGUUCCGAGGAAUCGUCGAUCCGGACUUGGAAUCGUCGAGAAAAGUUUACCGGGUCCGAGGAUUUGUCGAC